This is a long non-coding RNA of Armigeres subalbatus, 1088 nucleotides long. RefSeq lists it as uncharacterized. The record is from RefSeq and is a predicted model, not a curated record. Lineage: Eukaryota; Metazoa; Arthropoda; Insecta; Diptera; Culicidae. The transcript is spliced from 3 exons.
GCCAAAAUCUAGCCUAGCAUGAUACGAUCAAAGGGCGGCGUCAUUAAGCGCCUGCGCGAUUAAAGUACUCAGCCAACAGCUCCGAAGGUCAAGUUUAUUUGAAAUCCGCCGAAGAUGUUGAGAGAGAAAAGGUCGCGGCUGAACCCGAAACAUUAGCGAACGCCUCAGCGUAAGCUUCCAGACUUCCGAACUAUUUCAAUGAAGUUCGCGGGAAAUGCCGAAUUCCUGUUCGGCCGAGGUCACCAUCCUUAAUCUGAGGGUAACGACUUCAAAUUUAAUUUCUCCCAAACCGCCAACUGAAGCAGAAGUGUCGCGCCUUUUUUGUCCGUGAGUCGUUUCUGGUUGAAGUUGUCAAGUUUGCUUAACAAACGUAGUGUGUGCGUUAGGAUCAGUUUUGUGCGUUUCUCGAAGGAAUUGUCCAGCCGACCGCUACGUUUGUCGCAGGCAACCGCGUCACACCACCAUCGUUGGGACGAAAGAUUCCCGGCAUCCGUCGCCGGAGGGGGCCAACCCGUCAACACGUUGGUCCCAAUUCCAAUCGUGGUUGCCAAUUGCCACGCAUCGUCGCUUAUAGGGGUCAGCGAGUGCCGAGCCGCCGAUCAACCCCCCCCCCCCCCUGUGGGGGAAUUGGCCACGUCACCAACGGCCAUUCAUCGCUACGCACGUUGAUCGAUUUCCGCCGUCUACCAGGAGCGCAGCAGUACCGGUAGGCGAACAACAGUCGGUGAGUCAAGCGAUCUCUUUUUUAUCGAGUGGGGCGUCCAGUGAGGACGCCUCGGAGGAUUUUUUGUGCCGACCGUAGGUCGAUGACUGACUAAGUCAGGAAUUUGGACGCGUCCAUAAAAUUUUGAGGUUGGAUGUGGAAUUUAUAAAACGUAAUUCGUGAACGACCCAUCCAACCUCUAUUGUUAGACACCCGGGUGUGAAGUUACUCGUCGUCCAUUGAUUGCUGAAUGAGGAUAGGACGACACAAUGCAUGAGCACGCUAGAAUAGAGUAGAUAGAAAAAACGCACACACAGACAGGACAAAUGUAGUUUGUAGAAAGUCAUUGAGCAAAAUACAACAUUAAACAUGCUAGCAAAAUUAA